This 253-nucleotide ribosomal RNA is filed under the name uncultured bacterium. RNAcentral describes it as "partial 16S ribosomal RNA". It matches the Rfam family "Bacterial small subunit ribosomal RNA", at positions 524 to 776 of the family's 1533-position model. The record is from RNAcentral.
UACGUAGGGGGCAAGCGUUGUCCGGAAUCAUUGGGCGUAAAGCGCGUGUAGGCGGCUUGGUAAGUCAGACGUGAAAUCCCUCGGCUUAACCGGGGAACUGCGUCUGAUACUGGAUGGCUUGAGAUUGGGAGAGGGAUGCGGAAUUCCAGGUGUAGCGGUGAAAUGCGUAGAUAUCUGGAGGAACACCGGUGGCGAAGGCGGCAUCCUGGACCAACACUGACGCUGAGGAGCGAAAGCCAGGGGAGCAAACGGG